Molecule: ribosomal RNA, 520 nt
Filed under: uncultured Acaulospora
Lineage: Eukaryota; Fungi; Glomeromycota; Glomeromycetes; Diversisporales; Acaulosporaceae
Description: SSU rRNA
Rfam family: Eukaryotic small subunit ribosomal RNA
Source: RNAcentral
AGCAGCCGCGGUAAUUCCAGCUCCAAUAGCGUAUAUUAAAGUUGUUGCAGUUAAAAAGCUCGUAGUUGAAUUUCGGGGUUCAUACGUUGGUCGGGCUUUUUUGGUCUGUACUGGUGUAAUGGAUUCCUACCUUCUGAAUAACCGGCAUGUCAUUAAUUUGGUGCGCCGGGGAAGCAGGACUGUUACCUUGAAAAAAUUAGAGUGCUUAAAGCAGGCUAUCGCCUGAAUACAUUAGCAUGGAAUAAUGAAAUAGGACGGCAUGGUUCUAUUUUGUUGGUUUCUAGGAUCACCGUAAUGAUUAAUAGGGAUAGUUGGGGGCAUUAGUAUUCAAUUGUCAGAAGUGAAAUUCUUGGAUUUAUUGAAGACUAACUUCUGCGAAAGCAUUUGCCAAGGAUGUUUUCAUUAAUCAAGAACGAAAGUUAGGGGAUCGAAGACGAUCAGAUACCGUCGUAGUCUUAACCAUAAACUAUGCCGACUAGGGAUCGGACGAUGUUAAUUUUUAAUGACUCGUUCGGCGCCU